RNAcentral lists this ribosomal RNA (421 nucleotides) under Pediococcus pentosaceus. RNAcentral describes it as "bacterial SSU rRNA". It matches the Rfam family "Bacterial small subunit ribosomal RNA", at positions 42 to 425 of the family's 1533-position model. The record is from RNAcentral. Lineage: Bacteria; Bacillati; Bacillota; Bacilli; Lactobacillales; Lactobacillaceae.
GCGUGCCUAAUACAUGCAAGUCGAACGAACUUCCGUUAAUUGAUUAUGACGUACUUGUACUGAUUGAGAUUUUAACACGAAGUGAGUGGCGAACGGGUGAGUAACACGUGGGUAACCUGCCCAGAAGUAGGGGAUAACACCUGGAAACAGAUGCUAAUACCGUAUAACAGAGAAAACCGCAUGGUUUUCUUUUAAAAGAUGGCUCUGCUAUCACUUCUGGAUGGACCCGCGGCGUAUUAGCUAGUUGGUGAGGUAAAGGCUCACCAAGGCAGUGAUACGUAGCCGACCUGAGAGGGUAAUCGGCCACAUUGGGACUGAGACACGGCCCAGACUCCUACGGGAGGCAGCAGUAGGGAAUCUUCCACAAUGGACGCAAGUCUGAUGGAGCAACGCCGCGUGAGUGAAGAAGGGUUUCGGCUCG